GACCUAACCCGUAGGGCAACUUACGGCACGGUCAAAAAUCGUUGAACGCAGAAAGCUCCUAGUCAGAGCACGCGUUCAACGUCGUAUCGGGAAACCUUUACGGGUCUCGCAAGAGACC
This 118-nucleotide small RNA is filed under the name unclassified sequences. RNAcentral's name for it is "LOOT RNA". It matches the Rfam family "LOOT RNA". Rfam says of the family: Latescibacteria, OD1/Parcubacteria, OP11, TM7. Lineage (Microgenomates, aka OP11) The record is from Rfam by way of RNAcentral.